This is a long non-coding RNA of Lampris incognitus (smalleye Pacific opah), 229 nucleotides long. RefSeq lists it as uncharacterized. The transcript is spliced from 3 exons. NCBI's taxonomy places the organism in Eukaryota, Metazoa, Chordata, Actinopteri, Lampriformes, Lampridae. The record is from RefSeq and is a predicted model, not a curated record.
CUGCGUCAGGACAAAUAUAGCUCUAGCUGAUCUGGUGUUUCCUCUAACCUGACAGAGGAGCAAAGAAGGGGCCACCACAGAGAGGCGAGGCAGGUCCCGUCACAGGAGGAAACCCACACAGACACAAGGAGAACAUGCAAACUCCACACAGAAAGGACCUGGGACAGCCUGGGGUUCAAACCCAGGACCUUCUUGCUGCGAGGCAACAGUGCUGACCACUGGACCACCG